CUGUUCAGGUUCGAUCCAUGCCUGUUCUAAUUGUCUUCAUCUGGUGGUGACCAAACCCUAGGCACAAAAAUCGUGAUCCUUCUUCACUCAUCCAAAACCCUACUCGGAGCCCUAUCUGAUUGUUGUUCCGUCAACUUCGCGAGAAAUCCCGGUUAGCCAUGGAUGCUCAGCGAGCUUUGCUUGACGAACUCAUGGGCGCCGCUCGUAACUUGACGGAGGAACAGAAAAAGGGGUACAAGGAAGUUUCUUGGGACGAUAAGGAAGUCUGUGGAUUCUACAUGGUUCGAUUUUGCCCUCACGAUCUUUUCGUCAAUACCCGAAGUGAUCUGGGUCCUUGUCCUAGAAUACAUGACCCAAAAUUGAAAGAAAGCUUUGAGAAAUCCCCAAGACAUGAUGCAUUUGUGCCCAAGUUUGAAGCUGAACUUGCUCAGUUCUGUGAAAAAUUGGUAAUGGACUUGGAUAGAAGAGUAAGACGCGGGCGAGAACGUCUUGCUCAGGAGGUGGAACCUGCACCACCGCCUCCACUGACAAUUGAAAAGUCUGAGCAGCUAUCUGUCCUGGAGGAGAAAAUAAAGAACCUUCUGGAACAAGUUGAGUCUCUUGGAGAAUCUGGGAAGGUUGAUGAAGCAGAAGCUCUGAUGAGAAAGGUGGAAACACUUAAUGCUGAGAAGACAGCCUUAACUCAACAACCUCAAAAUGACAAGGUGAUGAUGCUUGCCCAGGAGAAGAAGAUGGCACUUUGUGAGAUAUGUGGUUCUUUUCUUGUGGCAAAUGAUGCUGCAGAGAGGACCCAGUCUCAUAUCACAGGGAAGCAACAUGUUGGUUAUGGAAUGGUUCGUGACUUUAUAAAUGAGUAUAAGGAUGCUAAGGAGAAGGCAAGGGAGGAAGAAAGAUUAGCUCGGGAGAAGGAAUUAGAAGAUCGGAAGAAGCAGAAGGAGAAGGAGUAUGAGAGGAGGCGGCAUGCAGAUUCAAGAGAUACGGAUAGGCAUCGUGAUAAAGAUAGGGACAGGGAGCAGGGUCGAGAUAGGGAGCGAGAUAGAUAUAGAGGAAGAGAUUCAGAUCGUGAAAGGUCACGUGAAUGGAAUGGUAGAGUUCAUCGAGAUGGAGGAAGAGAGGCAGAUUCUAGGUUGAGGAAUGGAAGAGAUGGAAGCAGAGACAGGUACCGUGAUCGGAGCAGGUCACGCUCUCCUGCUAGGCAUAGCUACAAACGCUCUUGAAGUCCAGUUCAAAUUAAUGGAAUUUCUUGAUAGAUAUCUGAAUUUGAAUUUGAAAUGAGGUAGAUCUUAAUAUCCCAAGACUUCUAUAAAUAUGUGGUUUUGGAGUCUAGUUAUCUCAUAAUCAGGGGUGAAUUUUUUUCCCAUCUCAGAGCUAUGUUGAGACAAUACAAUCUCCCUUUCAUCGAAAUUAUAUAUGGAGAAAAGGGUUGAGAAACGCUAUUGAUGAUUAGAUUGUUUCUGCUAGGUGACAUGCGCAGGAAAAUUAACUUAGAACAUUCUGCUUUUUGGAAGAAACAAGGUAAAAGGAAAAUUAAUCUCGUUCUUUAAUUUUGGGAUAAAAUAAUGUGUACUCUUUUGAAACUGGCAGAGUCCUAGAUACUUUAUAAACAUGCUUAUUUUGCUCUUUUCUUGGAUUGUAAAUAUUGAUUAAACUUAAUAGAGCAGUUUUGGAAGCAGUGACUGUCUUUGUUUGA
Molecule: RNA transcript, 1690 nt
Organism: Prosopis cineraria
Lineage: Eukaryota; Viridiplantae; Streptophyta; Magnoliopsida; Fabales; Fabaceae
Exons: 8
Source: RefSeq, a predicted model, not a curated record